RNAcentral lists this ribosomal RNA (475 nucleotides) under uncultured organism. RNAcentral's name for it is "partial 16S ribosomal RNA". It matches the Rfam family "Bacterial small subunit ribosomal RNA", at positions 331 to 797 of the family's 1533-position model. The record is from RNAcentral.
GUACACUCCUACGGGAGGCAGCAGUGGGGAAUUUUGGACAAUGGGCGAAAGCCUGAUCCAGCAAUGCCGCGUGAGUGAAGAAGGCCUUCGGGUUGUAAAGCUCUUUUGUCAGGGAAGAAACGGUGAGAGCUAAUAUCUUUUGCUAAUGACGGUACCUGAAGAAUAAGCACCGGCUAACUACGUGCCAGCAGCCGCGGUAAUACGUAGGGUGCAAGCGUUAAUCGGAAUUACUGGGCGUAAAGCGUGCGCAGGCGGUUUUGUAAGUCUGAUGUGAAAUCCCCGGGCUCAACCUGGGAAUUGCAUUGGAGACUGCAAGGCUAGAAUCUGGCAGAGGGGGGUAGAAUUCCACGUGUAGCAGUGAAAUGCGUAGAUAUGUGGAGGAACACCGAUGGCGAAGGCAGCCCCCUGGGUCAAGAUUGACGCUCAUGCACGAAAGCGUGGGGAGCAAACAGGAUUAGAUACCCGGGUAGUCCCA